RNAcentral lists this long non-coding RNA (1246 nucleotides) under Gallus gallus (chicken). Its description in RNAcentral is "lncRNA (ENSGALG00010025888.1)". The record is from RNAcentral. Lineage: Eukaryota; Metazoa; Chordata; Aves; Galliformes; Phasianidae.
CCUCUUCAUCUUCCCCCUUCAUCCUCAUCCUCCCCCCCUUUCACCCUCUCCACCCCCCUUCAUCCUUCCCCUCCCUCCUCAUCCUCCCCCCCCCCCCCUCACCCACCCCCCCGGCCCCAUUCCGACCCCGCGGCCAUAAAUCAGAGCUCAGUGGGACGCAGCCAUAUGGGAUCGGCGCGGAGCAACGCCGUCCUGAUGGGUUCCGGCGGCGGAGCGACGCUCCAUCAAAUCCAUGGAGGGGAUCCCGGACGAGAGAGUGACCCGAACCCACGGAGCCCUCAGCGGGACCCCCCCCCCAAAUGGAACCCACCCUGGGAUCGCCCCAUGGAGCCCCCGGGACCCUCCGGCGGACCCCCCCCCCCAUCCAUGGAACCUCCCGACGGAUCCCCCCCCCCCCAUGGACCUCUCCCCCCCCCCCCGGGGGGGGCGCACGAGAAGUUUGAGAGGAGCGGCUGCAGAGAGGUCCUGGCAGGUCACAGCAGCGAUCUGAGCCCCCCCCAGGAGCGAUCUGAGCCCCCCAGCAGCGAUCUGAGCCCCCCCAGCAGCGAUCUGAGCCCCCCAGGAGCGGUCUGAGACCAAAACGAGCAUCCCCGGGGGGGUCCCCCCGGCCGCAGCAAUUCCCAUCCGCGGGAGGAAGGAGAGGCCGAGAGAGGGGGAAGAUUGAAUUGAAGCCCCGGGGCCAUUAACCCGCUGCCCUGGCCCAACUCCAGCUGCAGUAAUUACAUUCGCCCUGAUUAAAAAUUUCCCCUUCGUUUUCAAUUAGCUCCGCCGUCCUUCUUCGCUUCCCUCCUCCCCAACCACAGCGCUGUGCGGCUCCGCAGUGCGGCUGCUCUGCAAAGGGGAAACUGAGGCACGGGGGGCUGGGGGGGGGGGGGGGGAGGGGGGGGGGGCGUUGUGGCACCUGUGGGGCACAGUGGGGCACUGCAUGGGGGGCGAUCAUAGCGCCUAUGGGGUAUUGCUCUACACUGGGGCUCCUAUGGGGCAUCGCAUGGGGGUGUUGAUGGUGCCUAUGGGGCACCUAUGGGGUAUUGCACUACACUGGGGCUCCUAUGGGGCAUCGCAUGGGGGUGUCCAUGGCAUCUAUGGGGCACCUAUGGGGUAUUGCAUGGAGGUGUUCUAGCGCCUAUGGGGCAUCUAUGGGGUAUUGCACUACAGUGGGGCUCCUAUGGGGCAUCGCAUGGGGGUGUCCAUGGCAUCUAUGGGGCACCUAUGGGGUAUUGCAUGGGGGUGUUCUAGCGCCUAUGGG